RNAcentral lists this ribosomal RNA (497 nucleotides) under uncultured bacterium. Its description in RNAcentral is "partial 16S ribosomal RNA". It matches the Rfam family "Bacterial small subunit ribosomal RNA", at positions 28 to 507 of the family's 1533-position model. The record is from RNAcentral.
GACGAACGCUGGCGGCGUGCCUAAUACAUGCAAGUUGAGCGCUGAAGGUUGGUACUUGUACCAACUGGAUGAGCAGCGAACGGGUGAGUAACGCGUGGGGAAUCUGCCUUUGAGCGGGGGACAACAUUUGGAAACGAAUGCUAAUACCGCAUAAAAACUUUAAACACAAGUUUUAAGUUUGAAAGAUGCAAUUGCAUCACUCAAAGAUGAUCCCGCGUUGUAUUAGCUAGUUGGUGAGGUAAAGGCUCACCAAGGCGAUGAUACAUAGCCGACCUGAGAGGGUGAUCGGCCACAUUGGGACUGAGACACGGCCCAAACUCCUACGGGAGGCAGCAGUAGGGAAUCUUCGGCAAUGGAAGAAAGUCUGACCGAGCAACGCCGCGUGAGUGCAGAAGGUUUUCGGAUCGUAAAACUCUGUUGGUAGAGAAGAACGUUGGUGAGAGUGGAAAGCUCAUCAAGUGACGGUAACUACCCAGAAAGGGACGGCUAACUACGUG